Homo sapiens (human) is the source of this 745-nucleotide RNA transcript. It is a transcript of the gene named PMS1 homolog 2, mismatch repair system component pseudogene 4, with no coding region annotated. The record is from RefSeq and is marked validated. NCBI's taxonomy places the organism in Eukaryota, Metazoa, Chordata, Mammalia, Primates, Hominidae. The transcript is spliced from 6 exons.
GAGGGAACUUUCCCAGGCCCCGAGGCGGAUCGGGUAUUGAGUCCAUGGAGCGAGCUGAGAGCUAGAGUACAGAACCUGCUAAGGCCAUCAAACCUAUCGAUCGGAAGUCAGUCCAUCAGAUUUGCUCUGGGCCGGUGGUACUGAGUCUAAGCACUGCGGUGAAGGAGUUAGUAGAAAACAGUCUGGAUGCUGGUGCCACCAAUAUUGAUCUAAAGCUUAAGGACUAUGGAGUGGAUCUCAUUGAAGUUUCAGACAAUGGAUGUGGGGUAGAAGAAGAAAACUUUGAAGGCUUAACGAUGUCACCAUUUCUACCUGCCACGCAUCGGCGAAGGUUGGGACUCGACUGGUGUUUGAUCACGAUGGGAAAAUCAUCCAGAAAACCCCCUACCCCCACCCCAGAGGGACCACAGUCAGCGUGAAGCAGUUAUUUUCUACACUACCUGUGCACCAUAAGGAAUUUCAAAGGAAUAUUAAGAAGACGUGCCUGUUUCCCCUUCGCCUUCUGCCGUGAUUGUCAGUUUCCUGAGGCCUCCCCAGCCAUGCUUCCUGUACAGCCUGCAGAACUGACUCCUAGAAGGACCCCACCCCCCUCCCCCAACCCCUGCUCCCAGGAGGACACGUGAUCACUGUAUUCAGCUCCAUCAAGAAUGGUCCAGGUUCUUCUAGAUGAUCUGCACAAAUGGUUCCUCUUCUCCUUCCUGGUGUCUGCCAUUAGCAUUGGAAUAAAGUUCCUGCUGAAAAUCCA